This 431-nucleotide ribosomal RNA is filed under the name uncultured bacterium. Its description in RNAcentral is "bacterial SSU rRNA". It matches the Rfam family "Bacterial small subunit ribosomal RNA", at positions 355 to 796 of the family's 1533-position model. The record is from RNAcentral.
UCGAGGAUCUUCGGCAAUGGGCGCAAGCCUGACCGAGCGACGCCGCGUGUGCGAUGAAGGCCUUCGGGUUGUAAAGCACUGUCGAGGGGGAGAAAGGGGCAACCUUGAUCGACCCCUGGAGGAAGCACGGGCUAAGUUCGUGCCAGCAGCCGCGGUAAGACGAACCGUGCGAACGUUAUUCGGAAUCACUGGGCUUAAAGGGCGCGUAGGCGGGCCGCAUAGUCAGGGGUGAAAGCCUCCAGCUUAACUGGAGAAGUGCCUCUGAUACUGGCGGCCUCGAGGGGUGCAGGGGCGUGCGGAACUUAGGGUGGAGCGGUGAAAUGCGUAGAUAUCCUAAGGAACACCGGUGGCGAAGGCGGCACGCUGGACACCUUCUGACGCUGAGGCGCGAAAGCCAGGGGAGCAAACGGGAUUAGAUACCCCCGUAGUCC